This is a non-coding RNA of Podospora fimiseda, 111 nucleotides long. NCBI's taxonomy places the organism in Eukaryota, Fungi, Ascomycota, Sordariomycetes, Sordariales, Podosporaceae. The record is from the annotation of a GenBank genome assembly.
GUCCCCGUAGCGAAGUGGUCAGCGCUUGUGUGCUUUCUUCAGCGUUUGAAUUUCCCCAGCGAGUUUGAUUUGAGGCAGCGAAAGAUGUCGGUUCGAAUCCGACCGGGGACA